Molecule: ribosomal RNA, 232 nt
Filed under: uncultured bacterium
Lineage: Bacteria
Description: partial 16S ribosomal RNA
Rfam family: Bacterial small subunit ribosomal RNA
Source: RNAcentral
UGAGCAAUCUGCCCUUCUCAUCGGAAUAAGCGUUGGAAACGACGUCUAAUGCCGAAUACGACCUCCUUUCGCAUGAUCGGAGGUGGAAAGCUCCGGCGGAGAAGGAUGAGCUCGCGGCCUAUCAGCUAGUUGGUGUGGGUAAUGGCCCACCAAGGCGACGACGGGUAGCCGGCCUGAGAGGGUGACCGGCCACACUGGUACUGAGACACGGCCCAGACUCCUACGGGAGCAG